Long non-coding RNA from Danaus plexippus (monarch butterfly), 1486 nucleotides. RefSeq lists it as uncharacterized. The record is from RefSeq and is a predicted model, not a curated record. NCBI's taxonomy places the organism in Eukaryota, Metazoa, Arthropoda, Insecta, Lepidoptera, Nymphalidae. The transcript has 2 exons.
GGUGAGGUCGGAACCCGGACGUGACGUCACUACCGGCUGAUGAACACCCGCCAUCAGCUGCACCUCGUCUGUGGGGGGCGUAGUGUGUACAAAGAUCAUGAUGAAAGGCGAGAGAUACUCCUACGUCUAGAGAUUUUCGACCACAUCCCGCCCGUCGUACCGUGUGUGACGUCACUCGUGUGUAUCCCGGAGUACAAAUAAACGGUCGUAAAGUAUAAACUUACCGAAGUACCAAGUAAUCUUGGCGGCGGGCCGUCCGUCAGGUACUAUACACUGUGCCACGAAACCGUCACCCUCGCGGAAGGUCGGCUGAGGAGGAGACACCAGCUGGGGUACUCCGGGCGCCUCUGAGGAAGGAGAUGAUGAGCUUUAGUAUGAAUCGACCGCGGUUGACGUCGAACUGUCCGUGUGUACGUACUCGCCACGAGCAACCUCAUGGAGGCGCUGAGCUCGAUGCUGCCGGUCUGCGGCGGCAGCGUGCAGGAGAUGUUCCCGUUCCACUCCUCCCUGACGUGUUUGAUGUGCGCGCCGCACUCGCCCGCCUCCAACCCCUGGCCGGAGUACGUCACCUCCUCCUCCUGGUUGUUCGGGAUGAGUCUGUACGACGUCGUCCCCACCGUCACCCUGGAACAGACACACGCACACACACAUUAUGAACGAUCGCAUAGAAAGGACGCCAUGUAGAUGUGGCAGGAUAUUAUUAUUUAUAAUCUGUUUGUUGAUAACUCUAUUUUAAUAUAUGUAUAGAACAAAGUUCACAUUAUAACGAAGCGCCACCCUCUGGUUAUAAAAGUGAUCAUAUAUUCAUGGCAAUCAUCGCGGGCGAUGCGGGCGCUCGUAAUGAGCCGUUAGGUAUUCAUACCUAACACUACACGAGGGCCUCCAGAGACGAGAUACUCACACACUCAGACAUCUCCGGACCUUCUGAGAGAUCGACAUAUAUCACAUACUUAGCCAUAUAAAAAAAGAAAGAAAGUAGAGGAGACAGAGCUUGAGAUACUUCGUCAAGGAAAAUACAAAUGCCAUGCAUACGCCAGGGUCCAGAGCGGCCGCGGCAGUCUGAUAUUAAAUAGGCACACGAUAAAGAGCGCGAUAGUUCAAAAGUGAAGUGAAGUGUCAUAAUUAUGGCGCAGAAGAACAUCUCACCGACAGGAGUCUAUGGGGUAGGGCACCUUGCAGAACACUGUGAGGUCGUCACCGACACGACGCACUGCCUCCCGCGGAGAGAUGUCCACCAGCUGGGAUUCCACUGGAAAAGAAACAAUUGAUGUAGUUCAGGACAUAUGCAUGUAGCCCUCGUGCGACACAACUAGAGGCGGCGUGCUGGAGUCGCAUCAGUGAACCUUGAAUAGAAUAAGACAUAGCACAGCAAUAGUGAAGCGAGUUCAGAAGAGAAGAGAAGUCAACAACACACUCUGCGCACUCACUUAUUCUCAGACUGAAAAUGUUUAAAUAUAUAAUAAUAAUAUAGCUGUCCAUAAACUCA